RNAcentral lists this ribosomal RNA (1399 nucleotides) under uncultured bacterium. RNAcentral describes it as "bacterial SSU rRNA". It matches the Rfam family "Bacterial small subunit ribosomal RNA". The record is from RNAcentral.
GAAUUCGCCCUUAGAGUUUGAUCCUGGCUCAGGAUGAACGCUGGCGGCGUGCCUAACACAUGCAAGUCGAACGAAGCACUUUAUUUGAUUUUCUUCGGAGAUGAAGAUUUGGUGACUGAGUGGCGGACGGGUGAGUAACGCGUGGGUAACCUGCCUCAUACAGGGGGAUAACAGUUGGAAACGACUGCUAAUACCGCAUAAGCGCACAGUACCGCAUGGUACGGUGUGAAAAACUCCGGUGGUAUGAGAUGGACCCGCGUCUGAUUAGCCAGUUGGCGGGGUAACGGCCCACCAAAGCGACGAUCAGUAGCCGACCUGAGAGGGUGACCGGCCACAUUGGGACUGAGACACGGCCCAAACUCCUACGGGAGGCAGCAGUGGGGAAUAUUGCACAAUGGGGGAAACCCUGAUGCAGCGACGCCGCGUGAGCGAAGAAGUAUUUCGGUAUGUAAAGCUCUAUCAGCAGGGAAGAAAAAAUGACGGUACCUGACUAAGAAGCACCGGCUAAAUACGUGCCAGCAGCCGCGGUAAUACGUAUGGUGCAAGCGUUAUCCGGAUUUACUGGGUGUAAAGGGCGUGUAGGCGGGGACGCAAGUCAGAUGUGAAAACCACGGGCUCAACCUGUGGCCUGCAUUUGAAACUGUGUUUCUUGAGUACUGGAGAGGCAGACGGAAUUCCUAGUGUAGCGGUGAAAUGCGUAGAUAUUAGGAGGAACACCAGUGGCGAAGGCGGUCUGCUGGACAGCAACUGACGCUGAGGCGCGAAAGCGUGGGGAGCAAACAGGAUUAGAUACCCUGGUAGUCCACGCUGUAAACGAUGGAUACUAGGUGUGGGGGGACUGACCCCCUCCGUGCCGCAGUUAACACAAUAAGUAUCCCACCUGGGGAGUACGAUCGCAAGGUUGAAACUCAAAGGAAUUGACGGGGGCCCGCACAAGCGGUGGAGUAUGUGGUUUAAUUCGAAGCAACGCGAAGAACCUUACCAGGGCUUGACAUCCCGGUGACCGCUCUAGAGAUAGAGUUUUCCCUUCGGGGACACUGGUGACAGGUGGUGCAUGGUUGUCGUCAGCUCGUGUCGUGAGAUGUUGGGUUAAGUCCCGCAACGAGCGCAACCCUUAUUGUUAGUUGCUACGCAAGAGCACUCUAGCGAGACUGCCGUUGACAAAACGGAGGAAGGUGGGGAGGACGUCAAAUCAUCAUGCCCCUUAUGUCCUGGGCCACACACGUACUACAAUGGUGGUCAACAGAGGGAAGCAAAACCGCGAGGUGGAGCAAAUCCCUAAAAGCCAUCCCAGUUCGGAUCGCAGGCUGCAACCCGCCUGCGUGAAGUUGGAAUCGCUAGUAAUCGCGGAUCAGCAUGCCGCGGUGAAUACGUUCCCGGGCCUUGCACACACCGCCCG